Molecule: non-coding RNA, 598 nt
Filed under: Pan troglodytes (chimpanzee)
Lineage: Eukaryota; Metazoa; Chordata; Mammalia; Primates; Hominidae
Source: RNAcentral
GACAGCACGUCUGUACCCAGGCGCUCAUUAGAACAGCGUGUUGCUCCACACCGCCUUGUGGUGUUUGUUACCGCGCUCUUGGGGUUCGAACGCAUACAGCAGGCUUGCAGCUAUUUCAUUGGUUUAAACUUUUUUUUUUUAUUGCAAAUGAAAAUUACUAUCAACUAUCAUUACAAAGCUGUAGAAUAUGAAGUUCGAAGGAAAACGCUGAAUCAGUAUACAAAAGCGUCUCAAUCAGACUCAUCCGUUUUGAAGCAAUUCCUCUGCCAUUUUGCCACCUCCUCUCAAAUUCAGCGACUUACCAGAAAGCCUGUGUGGAUGAAUAUUGCUUCCAGGAUUCACAUAAUUACAUCUAAAAUCAUAGAAUGUUAGAGCUGGAAGAAUCUUUAGAGUUUGCCCAAGGUCCUUCACCAGCAUUUUACAGAAGAUUCUUCGAUUUAACUGCUCUUAAUUACAUCCCGUUGCACUGGUCGCAUCAAGUUGCUUUAAACAGCCCUUCUAGUCAACAGAGCUGCAGAGAAAAACCUUGAGCUGUCACACUUCAUUUGUGAGAACACUCCGGAGCUUCCUCCAGCUGCUGAUUCCAAACCAGCUUCAC